This is a non-coding RNA of Paramuricea clavata, 73 nucleotides long. The record is from the annotation of a GenBank genome assembly. NCBI's taxonomy places the organism in Eukaryota, Metazoa, Cnidaria, Anthozoa, Malacalcyonacea, Plexauridae.
GCCUCUGUAGCUCAGUUGGUUAGAGCGCUGUAUCGGAAUCGCAGGGCCGUAGGUUCAAUUCCUACCAGAGGAC